This 253-nucleotide ribosomal RNA is filed under the name uncultured prokaryote. RNAcentral's name for it is "partial 16S ribosomal RNA". It matches the Rfam family "Bacterial small subunit ribosomal RNA", at positions 524 to 776 of the family's 1533-position model. The record is from RNAcentral.
UACGAGGGGGGCGAGCGUUGUUCGGAAUUAUUGGGCGUAAAGGGCGCGUAGGCGGUGCGGUAAGUCACCUGUGAAACCUCUGGGCUCAACUCAGAGCCUGCAGGCGAAACUGCCGUGCUGGAGGGUGGGAGAGGUGCGUGGAAUUCCCGGUGUAGCGGUGAAAUGCGUAGAUAUCCGCAGGAACAUCCGAGGCGAAAGCGGCUCGCUGGAUCACAACUGACGCUGAGGGACGAAAGCUAGGGGAGCAAACAGG